AUGAGACACAUUUUCCUUUACAGUUUAUUCUCUGAGUCCUCAGUGAAUCCAAGGGAAAGAAUGAUGAGAUCCCUGAGUGUCUUACUAGUGAUUCUGUGGCUUCACAUGAACUGGGUGAACAGCCAACAAAUGGAGGUGGAGCAGCAUCCUGAGUCCCUCAGUGUUCCAGAGGAAUACACUGUCUCUCUCAACUGCACUUAUAAGAACAGUGGUUCUCAGAACUUCAUGUGGUACAGACAGUAUUCUGGGAAGGGACCUGAGCUGCUGAUGUCUACAUACUCCAAUGGUGAUAAACACGAGGGAAGAUUCACAGUGCAUCUCAACAGAGCCAGCCUUUAUCUUUCCCUGCACAUUAGAGGCUCCCAGUUCAGUGACUCGGCCACCUACCUCUGUGCAGUGAGUGCACAGUGCUCCCCCAACACCUGCAGUCUGCACACAAACCUAUGGGGGCCCCAGUAA
Non-coding RNA from Dipodomys spectabilis (banner-tailed kangaroo rat), 459 nucleotides. The record is from the annotation of a RefSeq genome assembly. NCBI's taxonomy places the organism in Eukaryota, Metazoa, Chordata, Mammalia, Rodentia, Heteromyidae.